This 30-nucleotide non-coding RNA is filed under the name Mus musculus (house mouse). The record is from RNAcentral. Lineage: Eukaryota; Metazoa; Chordata; Mammalia; Rodentia; Muridae.
UUAUUUAUUAUUUACUUUUGAGACAGGGUC